AGUGAACGCUGGCGGUAGGCCUAACACAUGCCAGUCGAACGGCCGCACAGUAAGAGCUUGCUCUUACGGGUGGCGAGUGGCGGACGGGUGAGGAAUACAUCGGAAUCUACUUUUUCGUGGGGGAUAACGUAGGGAAACUUACGCUAAUACCGCAUACGACCUACGGGUGAAAGCAGGGGAUCUUCGGACCUUGCGCGAUUGAAUGAGCCGAUGUCGGAUUAGCUAGUUGGCGGGGUAAAGGCCCACCAAGGCGACGAUCCGUAGCUGGGCUGAGAGGAUGAUCAGCCACACUGGAACUGAGACACGGUCCAGACUCCUACGGGAGGCAGCAGUGGGGAAUAUUGGACAAUGGGCGCAAGCCUGAUCCAGCCAUACCGCGUGGGUGAAGAAGGCCUUCGGGUUGUAAAGCCCUUUUGUUGGGAAAGAAAAGCAGCAGGUUAAUACCCCGCUGUUCUGACGGUACCCAAAGAAUAAGCACCGGCUAACUUCGUG
This 492-nucleotide ribosomal RNA is filed under the name uncultured bacterium. RNAcentral's name for it is "partial 16S ribosomal RNA". It matches the Rfam family "Bacterial small subunit ribosomal RNA", at positions 29 to 507 of the family's 1533-position model. The record is from RNAcentral.